UACGGAGGGUGCAAGCGUUACUCGGAAUCACUGGGCGUAAAGCGCGCGCAGGCGGGCUGAUAAGUUGGAUGUGAAAGCCUACGGCUCAACCGUAGAACUGCAUCCAAAACUGUCAGUCUAGAGUCUGGGAGGGGAAGAUGGAAUUAGUUGUGUAGGGGUAAAAUCCGUAGAGAUAACUAGGAAUACCAAAAGCGAAGGCGAUCUUCUGGAACAGUACUGACGCUGAGGCGCGAAAGCGUGGGGAGCAAACAGGAUUAGAAACCCUAGUAGUCC
This 273-nucleotide ribosomal RNA is filed under the name uncultured bacterium. Its description in RNAcentral is "partial 16S ribosomal RNA". It matches the Rfam family "Bacterial small subunit ribosomal RNA", at positions 524 to 796 of the family's 1533-position model. The record is from RNAcentral.